AGUGAACGCUGGCGGUAGGCUUAACACAUGCAAGUCGAACGGCAGCACAGGAGAGCUUGCUCUCGGUGUGGCGAGUGGCGAACGGGUGAGGAAUACAUCGGAAUCUGCCCAUUCGUUGGGGAUAACCUAGGGAAACUUACGCUAAUACCGCAUACGCCUGUCUGGGGAAAGUGGGGGGUCUCAAGACCUCUCGCGAUUGGUUGAGCCGAUGUCGGCUUAGCUUGUUGGCGGGGUAGUGGUCCACCAAGGCGACGAUCCGUAGCUGGUCGGAGUGGAUGAUCAGCCACCCUGGACGUGAGACACGGUCCAGAAUCCUACGGGGGGCGGCAGUGGGGAAUAUUGGACAAUAGGCGGAAGCCUCAUCCAGCGAUAUCGCGUGGGUGAAGAAGGCGGCCGUGUUGUUAAGAACCUCUGUCGGGAGAGAAAUCUGUCUGGCUAGUACGCUGGGAGGAUGACGGUACCCAGAGAAUAAGCGCCGGCUAACUUCGUG
This 490-nucleotide ribosomal RNA is filed under the name uncultured bacterium. Its description in RNAcentral is "partial 16S ribosomal RNA". It matches the Rfam family "Bacterial small subunit ribosomal RNA", at positions 28 to 507 of the family's 1533-position model. The record is from RNAcentral.